This 267-nucleotide ribosomal RNA is filed under the name Escherichia coli. RNAcentral describes it as "partial 16S ribosomal RNA". It matches the Rfam family "Bacterial small subunit ribosomal RNA", at positions 1 to 264 of the family's 1533-position model. Lineage: Bacteria; Pseudomonadati; Pseudomonadota; Gammaproteobacteria; Enterobacterales; Enterobacteriaceae. The record is from RNAcentral.
AAAUUGAAGAGUUUGAUCAUGGCUCAGAUUGAACGCUGGCGGCAGGCCUAACACAUGCAAGUCGAACGGUAACAGGAAGCAGUUUGCUGCUUCGCUGACGAGUGGCGGACGGGUGAGUAAUGUCUGGGAAACUGCCUGAUGGAGGGGGAUAACUACUGGAAACGGUAGCUAAUACCGCAUAACGUCGCAAGACCAAAGAGGGGGACCUUCGGGCCUCUUGCCAUCGGAUGUGCCCAGAUGGGAUUAGCUAGUAGGUGGGGUAACGGC